UAAAAUUUUAGAAUUAAACCCUGCUUGCUGCAGUGAUGUGCCCCCAACGUCUUCUUCCUCCCACUUCUUCUGUCUUCUUCGACAAACGAUGAACCUCCACUUUUUCUUCUACCCCCUUUCCGUCUGCCUUCUUUCUCUUCAUGAAGUCCCUCCGCUUCUUCCUCCACCCACUAUUCUCUGCCUUCUUCCACAUCACGAUGAACCACCUUUUCUUCUUCUACCCCCUUUCCGUCUGCAUUCUUCCUCUUCGCGAUGUCCCUAUGCUUCUUUCUCUACCCACUGUCCUCUGCCUUCUUCCACAACAACUCCAUGACCUACUUCUUCAAGUCAUGGCUCAAACUCUGUUGCUCGUGUGUUGUUUUACUUCUCAAAUUUCCCAAAACUUUUUAGGGUUUUGGUUAAAAGAGGAUGACCUUUAAUGGAACCUCCAGUUGGGAACAAGUUCCGUAUCGGUUGAAAAAUCUGUGGCGGAUCCUUUGGAGAGAUUUAUCUCGAAAUAGUAGUAAUCAGAAGAGACAGCUGCGGUGGCAAAGGGGAAGAGAAGGGCGGUGGAGGAACUAGUGGACAAGGCCACUCUUCAGAAGCAGAGACACAUGAUCAAGAGUCUGCUGCUAGGUCCAGAGAACACAAACAUAAAGCCUUGCUGAUGCUACCAGAAACUUGUCUCAGCAGAAUCUCAACUUUUAGGAACUUCUAUUGAAGGAGUUGAGCUAAAGCCAUGAAUAAAGAGCUAGAAGAUGCAAAAUAUGAAUUGAGAUCAAAAGAAUGUUCUCCCUGCUGCUGUAACGACUAGAGUUAGCAUAGAAGUCGGAUCAACAUUUGGUUGACAGAAGAUUGUUGGCAGACAGGAAAAAGCCAUAGGCAUUGACCGUUUUGGAGCAAGUGCUCCAGCAGAAAAGAUAUACAAGGAGUUUGGUAUCACCAAGGAAGUUGCUGCUGCAAAAGAACUUUCAUAAAUCCUCUUAGUUUUCUUGAUUUUUAUUUUUUCUUAUCAAGAACUUUUAAGUUUCAAUAGUGGUAUGAAUUUCAAUUACGGAUUUGUUUUUUGAGAAAUCAGUUUAGCCACAAUAAGGAAGAUUAGAUUACUCUUGAAAAUGGUUCUCAAAUAAGAGACAGAGACCGAAGGAUGGGUGGAAUCAAUAAAGUUGUAUGAAUUUGUAACAACUCUUUUGGCUUGUGAGUUUUUUUUUCUGUGAUGUAGCAUUAUUCAUAUUCAUACAGAUGAACCAGAAGAUAGAACAUAACAUUAAUGAAAUUGGAAAAAAUGUCAUCAAUAGCAUCCAUGUG
Molecule: long non-coding RNA, 1287 nt
Organism: Arachis duranensis
Lineage: Eukaryota; Viridiplantae; Streptophyta; Magnoliopsida; Fabales; Fabaceae
Exons: 3
Source: RefSeq, a predicted model, not a curated record